GACGAACGCUGGCGGCGUGCUUAACACAUGCAAGUCGAACGGAAAGGCCCUGCUUGCAGGGUACUCGAGUGGCGAACGGGUGAGUAACACGUGGGUGAUCUGCCCUGCACUUCGGGAUAAGCUUGGGAAACUGGGUCUAAUACCGGAUAGGAACCAUCUUUAGUGUGGUGGUUGGAAAGUUUUUUCGGUGUAGGAUGAGCUCGCGGCCUAUCAGCUUGUUGGUGGGGUAAUGGCCUACCAAGGCGGCGACGGGUAGCCGGCCUGAGAGGGUGUACGGCCACAUUGGGACUGAGAUACGGCCCAGACGCCUACGGGAGGCAGCAGUGGGGAAUAUUGCACAAUGGGCGCAAGCCUGAUGCAGCGACGCCGCGGGGGGGAUGAAGGCCUUCGGGUUGUAAACGCCUUUCGCUAGGGACGAAGCUUUUUGUGACGGUACCUAGAUAAGAAGCACCGGCUAACUACGUG
This 465-nucleotide ribosomal RNA is filed under the name uncultured bacterium. RNAcentral describes it as "partial 16S ribosomal RNA". It matches the Rfam family "Bacterial small subunit ribosomal RNA", at positions 28 to 507 of the family's 1533-position model. The record is from RNAcentral.